UUGCCUUUCCCAAGAUCUGCCUGGGUAAAUUCCUGGGAAAGACAACCAUCAGGGAACUCUUUAUUGUCACAGCCAUUGUAUUUUUUACUUCACCUGCGUGGAAGGAGAGUUUUCGCUAUGUGUAUCCUAUAUCCACUUGUAGAAGUUGCAUUAGUUUUCUGGAGCACAGUUUAUUAAGAAGCUCUUACUUACAGAAGUAUACACCGGUACAAUGGAAUGCUAUGUCGCGAUUAAAAACAACGAAGUGGGUCCUUAUAUGGAAAGAUCUUCAAGAUGUUACUAAGGAGGAAAAAGGCAGAGGGUCAGAAAUAUACAUUUUUCAUGCAUUCAGCCACACAUGUAUAUCUGUUUGAGUAUGUCUUAUAAUUUUCUGGGAGAAGAAAAUAAACAUCAUUAGCUCUGGUU
Suricata suricatta (meerkat) is the source of this 405-nucleotide long non-coding RNA. RefSeq lists it as uncharacterized. The record is from RefSeq and is a predicted model, not a curated record. NCBI's taxonomy places the organism in Eukaryota, Metazoa, Chordata, Mammalia, Carnivora, Herpestidae. The transcript is spliced from 2 exons.